CCCAAAUUGACAAACAUGAUUUCUGAUCUUGUCAAAUCAGUGUCAAACAGAGUAGCCGAAGAAGUACUAUAGAGGUUUCGUUUGGGUAGAUGCUAGAUGAUAUGCGCGGUACGGAUAACUACAGAAUGCAGCUGUAUACAUUAUUAGUGCUUGAUGAUUUAAGAUAAAACUGUGGAAAUUGUAACUUCACUGAGGAAUUUGGGUGAUGGGAGACACUCCAUCCAUACUGAAUAAGCAGAGAAAAUAAAGGGGCAUUACUCGGCAUGACUCAGCAGGCCCUCUGUCAUCAGGGAUUUUGCCAUAAGUGACAGUCAGCAUCUAACAGUGAAGUGUUGACUGUGUGUGCUGAUUCUGAUCAUACAGAGUGUGAGUAGUACGGAGAUGCUUCAUGAAAUCGAGUGUGAAUCCUUUUCAUGGAACACUGUUGAGAAAAUUUAGAGAACCAGCAUUUGAAGCUGACUGCAAACUACUCUUUUGCUGCAAGUGAUAAAUGAUACAUGUCGUGUAAAGAUCACAAAGGCCCAAAAAUCUGCUUGAAGGGAACAAUAAGAAGUAUUAGAAGGGAAAACGAAAUACUAGAAGAACAGAAUUGAUAAAAAUUAUUGUAUCUAAUGUUUUUAGUGUAAAAAUCCAGAGGAGAGCUAGAUCAUCUACAAAUCAUCAGUAAAUGGUUGGUGUGAUAAUCCAGAAGUGGUGUGAAAUAGAUCCUCAGUGUGUGUUUCCUGUGAAAGAUAGUGCAAACUUUUUGAGUUUAAGACUUACACUAAGAAAAAUGACAACUAGUAAAUCUCACUGCUGUCCAAGCCACCCCGACAACUUUUGUUCUGUGUGUGGGAAAUUCGCUCAAAAAGCCCAAAGAAAACCAAUCACUGAUUUGGUUUAGAAGGCAUAUAAAUUAUGAUUGUCCUGUUGGUGAUCAAGAUAAAAAUUUUGCACCCCAUAUUGCCUGCAUAACCUAUACUACAACCUUAACAAAAUGAUUAAAAGGGAAACGCCGAGCCAUACCAUUCGCUGUUCCAAUGGUGUGGUGUGAGCCUA
Long non-coding RNA from Schistocerca piceifrons (Central American locust), 1038 nucleotides. RefSeq lists it as uncharacterized. The transcript has 5 exons. The record is from RefSeq and is a predicted model, not a curated record. NCBI's taxonomy places the organism in Eukaryota, Metazoa, Arthropoda, Insecta, Orthoptera, Acrididae.